CUCGUAGGUGGCCAACUAAGUCAGACGUGAAAUCCCCAGGCUUAACCUGGGAACUGCGUCUGAUACUGGAUGGCUUGGAUUCGGGAGAGGGAUGCAGAAUUCCAGGUGUAGCGGUGAAAUGCGUAGAUAUCUGGAGGAACACCGGUGGCGAAGGCGGCAUCCUGGACCAACAUUGACGCUGAGGAGCGAAAGCCAGGGGAGCAAAC
This 206-nucleotide ribosomal RNA is filed under the name uncultured bacterium. RNAcentral describes it as "partial 16S ribosomal RNA". It matches the Rfam family "Bacterial small subunit ribosomal RNA", at positions 568 to 773 of the family's 1533-position model. The record is from RNAcentral.